RNAcentral lists this long non-coding RNA (2156 nucleotides) under Mytilus galloprovincialis (Mediterranean mussel). Lineage: Eukaryota; Metazoa; Mollusca; Bivalvia; Mytilida; Mytilidae. The record is from RNAcentral.
AUAUACUGUGGUUAAUUCUUGCUUUAUUUAUAAUAUUAUGCACUGCAGAGAAAUAAGAUAUUGUUAUGUGUGUUUCCUAGUAUAGACGUACAUGAACAUGUUAUUGUCUUAUUUACUUUUCAAUACAGUAUUUAUGUCAUUAAAGAUAUACAAAUUCCAAGUAUGUAGUAGUUUAGAUUAGCCUAAAAUUUAAAAAAAUCACAGAGAAUGGUUUAUUUUUAUUAUUUGUGUUGCAGCUAAGCUGUUUUAUUAAUUUUACUGCUGAUUAUUAGCAUGCAAUAGCAAAGAUUUGUAAAUAAAUUAUCAUAUUUAAUUUCAUCAUCCAUAGUACAAACGAGUUUUACAGAAAUUGCAUUUAUCGCCAUGUGGUAGAAAACGAAGUGGUCACACGUAGAAUUACAUUCCAUUUUUUUAAUUGAUAAAGACAUAAAAAAUUCCAAGAAAAUUCAAAAUCCAAUAUUUUUUUACGAAAAGUACUCUUUUAUAAAAGGUUUUCAUGAUAAUCUUGCCUGCUCUUUGCAACUUCUAGUAUUUAUAAUUGAUAUAAUGUUAGUGAUGUACUGUUUCAGUUAUUACUUGAAUCUUAUGAAUUAUAAAUUAAACUCGUUAUCUUAAUUGAUUAAAUCUACAUAGUUUGCGAAAACUUGUGUAACAACUGAUACCAAUCGACUAGAAAUAUCAUCAAUUCAAGACUUAAAUAAUCUAAUGAGUUUUAAUUUAGGCCCCAGGCAAACUAUCACCUAUUUUGAUUUCAUACGUUUUUUAAAAUUUUAUUUUUCGAAAUUAGAAUUAUGAUUUAAAGAAACUAGAAAGAUCCUUUGUCCUAAAAUUUUCAUUUGACUCCAACAUUUCCUAAAUAUAUUACAUGUUUCAAAAGUUACACAUAUGCGUUGACACGUUAACUACUUUGUUGUAUAUUAUAAUUAUUUCUGGAAUAUUCUUCCUGAGCGAAAUUUUUAUUACAUUUGUGAUUUGUGUUAACUCUGUUAAGCAGUGAUACUGCUGUAGCAGACGGUUUUAGUAUAGCAAAGCUUAUUUGUUAUUUUUUUCAGUAACAAAAGUAACCAGUGUUACUUGUGUAUUUGAUGUUAUUUUUGCUUGUUUGUGUGUUAAUUUGAAGGGACUGUUUUUGUUUACACAUCUUGCCAUAUAAAACUUUUGAGUUAAAAGCAGCUAAAUGACUGAUUAUUACUGUUGAUAAGAUGAGGUUUUAUAAAGUUUAGUUAUAAAUUAUUUGCUUUGACAAUUUAUCAUAUAUUGUUUUUAAUUUUAACUACAUUGUACACUGAGCAAUGGUAGCUUCGGACAUUAGAUGGGUUUACAUCCAAACAAAUGGUAGGUAAACUGCCAGCAAACUUCCUUGACUAUUGCUUUCAAUACUUUUUCAUAUGAGAGAUAACGGAACAGCUAUUUUUUAAAGGAUGAUAUUUCUUUUGCUAAAAUGUCACCUAGUUAUUAAGAUAAAUGUGCAUGUAAGUUUCAAAAACUAAUUACAACUGUUAUUGGACCAAACAUAAAAUGGUAUGUUUUAACUUAUUUUUUUCUGGAUUUGUUUCUGCAUUAUUUCCUAAACUUUUAAACUGAGAGCCUUUUAUUUUACUUAAGGUAUUAAGAACAACAAAAAAAUAGAAUAGGUUUUUUUUUGUCAGAUGGUCUAAUAUGAAAUAUUACUAUACUCUUGAUACUAGGUUCCAUCAUAUAUAGUUUAUCUUUUUUUAAUACGUUUUUAUCUACUUUGGAACAAAUAAUGAUGACAGAUUGACAUGUCACCAAUUCAUUGGCCUUGUUGACGUUAUGGGAGAAGAACGCGAGAGAUAUUCAAAAAUGUAUUUUAGCAAUAACCAUCUAUUGUGACAAAUACCUAUAUAAUUAUUUAGAACAUUUAUGUUGUAACUACAACUGUUAUAAACUUAAUAUAAAUAAUUAUUGAUUUUCUAGUUUGUAACAUAUACAUUCUAUAUUGUAAAAUAUUGCUCACUAUCAUUUCUAGUCGAUACCAUUAGAAACGUUGGUCACUUGCGUCAGUUUUUAUUUCUUCAUAUUCUCAGGUUUUGUCAUCUCAAAUCCAUGAAAAGUUUCACAACUAAGCACAUAAGUUAUUAAAACGUACAGCCCUCUGACUAAACUUUAAUCUCCUCAAACGAAAUUACACAAAU